Long non-coding RNA from Saccostrea cuccullata (small rock oyster), 238 nucleotides. RefSeq lists it as uncharacterized. The record is from RefSeq and is a predicted model, not a curated record. NCBI's taxonomy places the organism in Eukaryota, Metazoa, Mollusca, Bivalvia, Ostreida, Ostreidae. The transcript has 3 exons.
GAAUUGUUUUUACAAUAUUAUCAAUAAUUUAAUUUAAUAAUGGAUUACUGCAUUAUCAUUGCUCUGUUAUCAAAUGGGAUUGGGCUGUUUGCAAAUACUCUAGGAGUUUGUUCAAAGAAAGGAGAACCGUUGAUAUGCUGCGAAAACUACCGCAAAGUUGGUGAAGCCUGCGAAGAAUGUUGGCCAGGAACGUUUGGUGUUAAUUGCACUCCAUGCCCUCCAAAUUUUUAUGUAAAGC